RNAcentral lists this ribosomal RNA (229 nucleotides) under uncultured bacterium. RNAcentral's name for it is "partial 16S ribosomal RNA". It matches the Rfam family "Bacterial small subunit ribosomal RNA", at positions 568 to 796 of the family's 1533-position model. The record is from RNAcentral.
UCCGUAGGUGGAUAAUUAAGUCAGAGGUGAAAUCCUGCAGCUCAACUGUAGAAUUGCCUUUGAUACUGGUUAUCUUGAGUCAUUAUGAAGUGGUUAGAAUGUGUAGUGUAGCGGUGAAAUGCAUAGAUAUUACACAGAAUACCGAUUGCGAAGGCAGAUCACUAAUAAUGUACUAACACUGAGGGACGAAAGCGUGGGGAGCGAACAGGAUUAGAUACCCUGGUAGUCC